This 587-nucleotide ribosomal RNA is filed under the name Arthrobacter sp. CS11. Its description in RNAcentral is "bacterial SSU rRNA". It matches the Rfam family "Bacterial small subunit ribosomal RNA", at positions 78 to 677 of the family's 1533-position model. RNAcentral also lists the same sequence under 1 other name. The record is from RNAcentral. Lineage: Bacteria; Bacillati; Actinomycetota; Actinomycetes; Micrococcales; Micrococcaceae.
GCUUGCUGGGGGGAUUAGUGGCGAACGGGUGAGUAACACGUGAGUAACCUGCCCUUGACUCUGGGAUAAGCCUGGGAAACUGGGUCUAAUACCGGAUAUGACUCCUCAUCGCAUGGUGGGGGGUGGAAAGCUUUUGUGGUUUUGGAUGGACUCGCGGCCUAUCAGCUUGUUGGUGGGGUAAUGGCCUACCAAGGCGACGACGGGUAGCCGGCCUGAGAGGGUGACCGGCCACACUGGGACUGAGACACGGCCCAGACUCCUACGGGAGGCAGCAGUGGGGAAUAUUGCACAAUGGGCGGAAGCCUGAUGCAGCGACGCCGCGUGAGGGAUGACGGCCUUCGGGUUGUAAACCUCUUUCAGUAGGGAAGAAGCCGCGAGGUGACGGUACCUGCAGAAGAAGCGCCGGCUAACUACGUGCCAGCAGCCGCGGUAAUACGUAGGGCGCAAGCGUUAUCCGGAAUUAUUGGGCGUAAAGAGCUCGUAGGCGGUUUGUCGCGUCUGCUGUGAAAGACCGGGGCUCAACUCCGGUUCUGCAGUGGGUACGGGCAGACUAGAGUGCAGUAGGGGAGACUGGAAUUCCUGGUGUA